RNAcentral lists this ribosomal RNA (492 nucleotides) under uncultured bacterium. RNAcentral's name for it is "partial 16S ribosomal RNA". It matches the Rfam family "Bacterial small subunit ribosomal RNA", at positions 29 to 507 of the family's 1533-position model. The record is from RNAcentral.
AGUGAACGCUGGCGGUAGGCCUAACACAUGCAAGUCGAACGGCAGCACAGUAAGAGCUUGCUCUUACGGGUGGCGAGUGGCGGACGGGUGAGGAAUACAUCGGAAUCUACUUUUUCGUGGGGGAUAACGUAGGGAAACUUACGCUAAUACCGCAUACGACCUACGGGUGAAAGCAGGGGAUCUUCGGACCUUGCGGGAUUGAAUGAGCCGAUGUCGGAUUAGCUAGUUGGCGGGGUAAAGGCCCACCAAGGCGACGAUCCGUGGCUGGUCUGAGAGGAUGAUCGCCCACACUGGAACUGAGACACGGUCCAGACUCCUACGGGAGGCAGCAGUGGGGAAUAUUGGGCAAUGGGCGCAAGCCUGAUCCAGCCAUACCGCGUGGGUGAAGAAGGCCUUCGGGUUGUAAAGCCCUUUUGUUGGGAAAGAAAAGCAGCAGGUUAAUACCCCGCUGUUCUGACGGUACCCAAAGAAUAAGCACCGGCUAACUUCGUG